This 507-nucleotide ribosomal RNA is filed under the name Botryosphaeria dothidea. RNAcentral's name for it is "eukaryotic LSU rRNA". The stretch from base 181 to 334 matches the Rfam family "5.8S ribosomal RNA". The record is from RNAcentral. Lineage: Eukaryota; Fungi; Ascomycota; Dothideomycetes; Botryosphaeriales; Botryosphaeriaceae.
UCCGAGUUGAUUCGGGCUCCGGCCCGAUCCUCCCACCCUUUGUGUACCUACCUCUGUUGCUUUGGCGGGCCGCGGUUCUCCGCGGCCGCCCCCCUCCCCGGGGGGUGGCCAGCGCCCGCCAGAGGACCAUCAAACUCCAGUCAGUAAACGAUGCAGUCUGAAAAACAUUUAAUAAACUAAAACUUUCAACAACGGAUCUCUUGGUUCUGGCAUCGAUGAAGAACGCAGCGAAAUGCGAUAAGUAAUGUGAAUUGCAGAAUUCAGUGAAUCAUCGAAUCUUUGAACGCACAUUGCGCCCUUUGGUAUUCCGAAGGGCAUGCCUGUUCGAGCGUCAUUACAACCCUCAAGCUCUGCUUGGUAUUGGGCACCGUCCUUUGCGGGCGCGCCUCAAAGACCUCGGCGGUGGCGUCUUGCCUCAAGCGUAGUAGAACAUACAUCUCGCUUCGGAGCGCAGGGCGUCGCCCGCCGGACGAACCUUCUGAACUUUUCUCAAGGUUGACCUCGGAU